Molecule: non-coding RNA, 74 nt
Organism: Podarcis lilfordi (Lilford's wall lizard)
Lineage: Eukaryota; Metazoa; Chordata; Lepidosauria; Squamata; Lacertidae
Source: the annotation of a GenBank genome assembly
AGAUGGAUAGCUCAGUUGGUAGAACACGAGACUCUUAAUCUCAGGGUCCUGGGUUCGAGCCCCCUGUUGGGUGA